Gadus macrocephalus (Pacific cod) is the source of this 1560-nucleotide long non-coding RNA. RefSeq lists it as uncharacterized. Lineage: Eukaryota; Metazoa; Chordata; Actinopteri; Gadiformes; Gadidae. The record is from RefSeq and is a predicted model, not a curated record. The transcript is spliced from 3 exons.
AGAAUUCUGAGAAAAAAAGUCAGAAUUCUGACAUUAAUCUCAGAAUUCUAACAUUAAUCUCAGAAUUCUGAGAUAAAAAAUCAGAAUUCUGACAUUAAUCUCAGAAUUCUGAGAUUAAAGUCCGAAUUCUGACAUUAAUCUCAGAAUUCUGAGAAAAAAGUCAGCAUUCUGACAUUAAUCUCAGAAUUCUGACUUUAAUCUCAGAAUUCUGAGAAAAAAUCCGAAUUCUGGCUUCACUUUGCGACUUCGAGGGGUUCCAGAAAAAGCCAUUUCGUUAAUGGAAGACCAAAAGUUUGACAACACCAUCGAGCUAAUGGAUGAUGCACUCCUGGCAGACUGAAGACUGCGGAACACAUUUCCACCUUCUAUUUUUUCAAAAGGCUCCUCGCAACAUUAUUCGAAGAAUUACAGCAGUUUAACUGCUCCCAACACUGCCUGCAAUGCCAGAAUUGGAUGAGCUAAUUAAACUCUACUUCAGACUUUCUUUUAGUAACAAGGAAAUACUUGCGAUUUUAGCACAUAGCAAUCAUAUAGUACUUAGUAUCAGAACUUUAAAAAGAAUUUGUAAAAGACUUGGUCUGUUCAGAAGGAAGAACCAGACUGACUUGGACCAAGUGCUGGCUUUUGUCCAAAAUGAGAUUUUGACCAAUGGACAGAUGCAGGGGUACCGUUGGCUACAUCUUCGCGCAGUUCAACGGGGAUUUGUUGUUUCCCCAGAUACCAUAAGACGCAUUAUCAAGUUGGUUGAUCCACAAGGUGUCGAAUUAAGGCGAGCACGACGCUUGAGAAGAUGACAAUACAGCUGCAGAGGGCCAAAUGCACUUUGGCACAUGGACGGCUAUGAUAAGUUAAAGCCCUAUGGCAUUUGCAUCCAUGGCUGUAUAGACGGUUUUAGCCGAUAUGUGUUAUGGAUGGAGGCCUAUACCACAAAUAAUGAUCCUAAAGUGGUUGCAAGUUACUUCAUCAAGACAGUUUCAAGUAUAGAAGGAUGUCCAGAGAGGUUGCGUGCAGACAGGGGCACAGAAAAUGGCUGUGUCGAAGAGAUGCAGAUGUUUUUGCGGAGAAACCACCCUGACAGUUUUGCAGGGGAGAAAAGCUUCCUUUACGGAAGAAGCACAGCAAACCAGCGCAUUGAGGCAUGGUGGGGUACCCUCCGCAAACAGAGUGCACAGUUUUGGAUGAACCUUUUUAAAACUUUCCAGGAUGAUGGGCACUUCACAGGAGACUUUUUGGACAAAAACCUUAUCCAAUUCUGUUUCCUUAAUCUUGUUCAGGAUGAACUGGAUGAAGUUGUCCAUACAUGGAAUUCACACAAAAUCAGACCAAGAUCAAGUAAUGAUGUGGGUUCGGGUCGGCCAGUGGUGAUGUACUCGUUCCCAGAGUUACACAGUGCUGAGGAUAGACUCAAACCGAUUGCCAUGGAGGAGGUUACUAUGUGUUUGGAAGAGUGUACUCCCAAAGGCCAGUUUCCUUGCAAUCAAACUGUUUUUGAACUAUGUUGUCUACUAAUGGAAGAGAAAGGAUGGGAUGCUCCAGCAGAUCCACUAGCUGCAGCUGAUC